Molecule: ribosomal RNA, 253 nt
Filed under: uncultured bacterium
Lineage: Bacteria
Description: partial 16S ribosomal RNA
Rfam family: Bacterial small subunit ribosomal RNA
Source: RNAcentral
UACGAAGGUGGCUAGCGUUGUUCGGAAUCACUGGGCGUAAAGCGCACGUAGGCGGAUGUGUCAGUCAGGGGUGAAAUCCCGGAGCUCAACUUCGGAACUGCCUCUGAUACAGCACGUCUUGAGUCCGAUAGAGGUGGGUGGAAUUCCUAGUGUAGAGGUGAAAUUCGUAGAUAUUAGGAAGAACACCGGUGGCGAAGGCGGCCCACUGGAUCGGUACUGACGCUGAGGUGCGAAAGCGUGGGGAGCAAACAGG